This 744-nucleotide ribosomal RNA is filed under the name Teratosphaeria velox. RNAcentral's name for it is "eukaryotic LSU rRNA". It matches the Rfam family "Eukaryotic large subunit ribosomal RNA", at positions 95 to 871 of the family's 3401-position model. The record is from RNAcentral. Lineage: Eukaryota; Fungi; Ascomycota; Dothideomycetes; Mycosphaerellales; Teratosphaeriaceae.
GAAGCGGCAACAGCUCAAAUUUGAAAUCUGGCGUAAGCCCGAGUUGUAAUUUGUAGAGGAUGCUUCAGGGCAGCGGCCGGUCUAAGUCUCUUGGAACAGGGCGUCAUAGAGGGUGAGAAUCCCGUAUGCGACCGGCUGGCACCCGUCACGUAGCUCCUUCGACGAGUCGAGUUGUUUGGGAAUGCAGCUCUAAAUGGGAGGUAAAUUUCUUCUAAAGCUAAAUACCGGCCAGAGACCGAUAGCGCACAAGUAGAGUGAUCGAAAGAUGAAAAGCACUUUGGAAAGAGAGUUAAAAAGCACGUGAAAUUGUUGAAAGGGAAGCGCAUGCAACCAGACUUGUCGGCGGUGUUCCGCCGGUCUUCUGACCGGUCUACUCGCCGCCGGCAGGCCAGCAUCAUCUGGGCGCGCCGGACAAAGGCGCGGGGAAUGUGGCUCCUCGGAGUGUUAUAGCCCCGCGCACAAUACGGCGCCGCCCGGGUGAGGUCCGCGCUUCGGCUAGGAUGCUGGCGUAAUGGUUGUCUGCGGCCCGUCUUGAAACACGGACCAAGGAGUCUAACAUCUAUGCGAGUGUUCGGGUGUCAAACCCCUACGCGGAAUGAAAGUGAACGGAGGUGGGAAGCGCAAGCUGCACCAUCGACCGAUCCUGAUGUCUUCGGAUGGAUUUGAGUAAGAGCAUAGCUGUUGGGACCCGAAAGAUGGUGAACUAUGCCUGAAUAGGGUGAAGCCAGAGGAAACUCUGGUGGA